AUGCAUUUAAGUCCCAGUCUGUGCUGUCUGUCUUUGUCGGGUCUUAAUGUUAUGUAUGUGUGGAUUACGUUAAAGGCUGUUACUUUGAUCCUCGGUGGUCCCGCCGACACAGUUGUGCCAAUAUACAAUGGAGAUAUAGAUGGCUUCAAUGUAGAGAUGAGGAGGAAUAUCAGUCCUGGACUCCAUCAACAAUGAGACGACAGAGCGGAGAAAAUCUGCAUAAACAACAAAGCACAGCCUCCAGCCAUCAGAAUCCAAUCACAGCCGCUCAGAGGAACAGGAAAUGGACGUCUCUGGAUUGUGUCUCUUCUCGCUGUCUGUCUGCGUAAUGGGAUUAAAAGGCCAGAUCUGAGCGCUGCCAUGCAGUUCUGCUAGAAUAAACACCAGAGCUGCAGGAGCUCCUGCUCUUGAGUUUGGACGAGCCAGACACGUUAAGUUAAAAUUAAAGCAUUAAUCUGCAGUUUUCAUUUCCCCAGCAUCCGUGAAAGCCCACGCUUGCUAGAACAGCACAUCUGCCCUUAAUAGCUGGAAAUCCUUUUCAGUCGCCUGAGUCAUGGAUGCUGGAUUUUCCUCCAUUCCGAGUGUUUGGGAUCCUCGGAAAAAAGGCCAUGAAGAAUAUUUGUGGCAGAUUUUGGUUUCUGUGCCAGAGUUAUUAUAGUUAACUAAAACCAUCAAAAACAUUUGUGCAACUACAGUAUUUUAUCAUUAUAUAUAAUAUAUAUAUAUAUUUUUUUCAGUUGGUUGCAAAAGCAACAUUUCUUAUUUUCAUUUAAUUUAAAGGAAUAGUUCAUACCAAUUUUGGGAUGAAUUGUUACUUUAACUUGAGAUAUUAAAACAACUAAAAACUGAAAAGAUGAUAAUAACUAUACAGACAUUUAGAAACAAACAAACAAAACUAAACAAAAAUAAAAACUAAAAAAACUAUAAAUAUAAAAAUUAAUUCAAAAUAUGAAUAAAAACUGCAAUAACACAAUGUGUGACUCUUUUCUGAAGCUCUAGAGGUGGCUUGUUAAAUAAACUGGGGUCUUUUUCACAGUUUUCUUCAAAAAAAAUGUUGUGGAUGAGAAUCAGCUGAGGUCUCAUUUGUGAUUUUUAUGUUGUGUGUUAUUAACAUGUUAUUAGCCGGCUGGUGUUCAUUCACAAGUUUCUCCUGAGAGCUCUUAAAGUUCACUUUG
Long non-coding RNA from Cyprinus carpio carpio, 1175 nucleotides. The record is from Ensembl. NCBI's taxonomy places the organism in Eukaryota, Metazoa, Chordata, Actinopteri, Cypriniformes, Cyprinidae.